AGAGCGAACGCUGGCGGCAGGCCUAACACAUGCAAGUCGAACGGACUCUUCGGAGUUAGUGGCGGACGGGUGAGUAACACGUGGGAACGUGCCUUUAGGUUCGGAAUAAGCUCGGGAAACUGGGUCUAAUACCGAAUGUGCCCUUCGGGGGAAAGAUUUAUCGCCUUUAGAGCGGCCCGCGUCUGAUUAGCUAGUUGGUGGUGUAAUGGACCACCAAGGCGACGAUCAGUAGCUGGUCUGAGAGGAUGACCAGCCACAUUGGGACUGAGACACGGCCCAAACUCCUACGGGAGCAGCAGUGGGGAAUCUUGCGCAAGUGGGCGAAAGCCUGACGCAGCCAUGCCGCGUGUAUGAUGAAGUCUUAGGAUUAGUAAAAUACUUUCACCGGUGGAGAUAAUGACUGUAGCCGGAGAAGAACGCCCGAUAACUCGUGCCAGCAGCCGAC
RNAcentral lists this ribosomal RNA (445 nucleotides) under uncultured soil bacterium. RNAcentral describes it as "bacterial SSU rRNA". It matches the Rfam family "Bacterial small subunit ribosomal RNA", at positions 26 to 518 of the family's 1533-position model. The record is from RNAcentral.